RNAcentral lists this ribosomal RNA (301 nucleotides) under uncultured bacterium. RNAcentral's name for it is "partial 16S ribosomal RNA". It matches the Rfam family "Bacterial small subunit ribosomal RNA", at positions 509 to 808 of the family's 1533-position model. The record is from RNAcentral.
CAGCGCCGCGGUAAUACGAAGGGGGCUAGCGUUGCUCGGAAUGACUGGGCGUAAAGGGCGCGUAGGCGGAUUGUUUAGUUAGGCGUGAAAUUCCUGGGCUUAACCUGGGGACUGCGCUUAAUACAGGCAGUCUAGAGUGAGGAAGAGGGUUGUGGAAUUCCCAGUGUAGAGGUGAAAUUCGUAGAUAUUGGGAAGAACACCGGUGGCGAAGGCGGCAACCUGGUCCUUGACUGACGCUGAGGCGCGAAAGCGUGGGGAGCAAACAGGAUUAGAUACCCCGGUAGUCCCUGUCUCUUAUACA